Homo sapiens (human) is the source of this 97-nucleotide microRNA precursor. It matches the Rfam family "mir-544 microRNA precursor family". The record is from Rfam. Lineage: Eukaryota; Metazoa; Chordata; Mammalia; Primates; Hominidae.
AUCACCUAGGGAUCUUGUUAAAAUGCAGAAUCAGAUUUUGUAGGUCUGGGUUGGGGCCUCAGAUUCUGAUUUUUAACAGGCUUCUAAGUGAUGCUAG